Cephus cinctus (wheat stem sawfly) is the source of this 2131-nucleotide long non-coding RNA. RefSeq lists it as uncharacterized. The transcript has 5 exons. The record is from RefSeq and is a predicted model, not a curated record. Lineage: Eukaryota; Metazoa; Arthropoda; Insecta; Hymenoptera; Cephidae.
UUUAAAGGGAGCGUAGAUGACGUCAAGGAAUGUAACAGUGUUACUACAGUGCGUUUCAUAACGAAUACCCUGUACAAAUAUAUAUACAUACGUAUAUUUUUAUAUACAACAGAGAUAUGCAUGCCUUGCUCGACAAAAGUACUGUUGCAAGCGCCGCAGGCGGCAUUAUCGGGAAACCCUACUGGAACCGUAUUUUUGUCCCAGUAUUGGUUAUAAGCUACAACGUGAUGAGGAUAGGGAAGUGCUCAGACCUGAAGGUCGAUUAUGUAACUCAAAUGUAGUGAAAAUACGAAAAGUGAGUAGCUGUUAGCCAAUCGCGUGUUAGGUUCAAAAGAAGACAAGCACAGCGAUUGGCUAACAGCUAUUCACUUUUCGUAUUUUCACUACAUUUAAGAUACACAAUCCACCCUCUGUAUACAAGACCGUGCUCACAACGCUCACGACCUUCCUUCCUUCUUUUCCUUAUGGCUGACUCUUCCAAUGAGGAGAUGUGCCAGAACGCUCACGACCAGUGACGGAUCAAAUGAUACACCACGGCCAAGAUAGUACAAAGAGGGUCAAAUAUUAUGGGAUUUUGUGUCUGGUAGUUGGAGGUAAAAGAAGCGCGCACAAUAACCGACAUCUUGGUUGUAACGGUUUGGAGGUUUUCCAUUUGGUGAUACCAGAAAGAUUUGUGCCAGCUCUUGGUACACUUGAGAUCCUAGAUAAUGGACCAUUGACUGGAAUUUUUUCUUCGGUGUGACCAAGAAUUCUACCCACAAGAAAUGCUGACUCUUCGCUGGUUAGGAUUCCACUUGCCAUAGGGCCUUCAAUGAACUCUCUAUCAUUCAUAAGAGGGUAUCGAACACUGUACCAGACCUCUUCAGGGCUGCGAAGAGAGUGCCCUCAUGUGCUAAUCGAAGACUGUCUCUACAUGCUAAAUCAGCUACUUCUUUGGAACUGAGAUCUUCAAAGCACUCCUGACACAAGACUGUUGCAGGAUCAGAGUCUAUGAUGGAUAUACAUGCUGAUAGGAGUCCAGAACAGGCUUCAGCUGAAACCAGACAAUGAAAUUGUGCAGGUGGCGCGGUAGGCGUUCCAGGAGGUUUCACCGUUUCAAGAUUUCCUGCAUAUAGUCCGAGUCCUUGAUAGACUUCAAGGACAGUUGAAGAGUCCAAAUUAGCCUCCAAGAAUUUGACAGAAAGUCGAGCAAGUUCAGGGCAUAAGUAUUGAUGUGCCGCAUCCAGGGUAGCCCUAGCAGUAGUUACGGAUUGAAAAUUCACCGGCUCAUCAUGUAGGUAUCUAAAAAUGAGAUAAAAUAGAACGUCCAAGGUCAAUAGGUAUCUCAAAUUUCAUAUUGGCACUCAAGUCAGUACAGGUGCAACGGCGGAAUGGGCCUCGUGACGCCUUUGACCCUUAUGAGAAUUUCCAUUAACGAUAAUGGAUAACGCAACGAUUGAUAAAAAGAUCCACAGAUACGCGAUCACGCCAAGUACAGCGACGUUCAUUAAUUUCUCAAACCCGUCAGAAUCACACGGCAUGAUUCUAAGCACGCGGAAAGAUUUGGUUCCAGGAAAAAAAAGCAUGUUGCACUCUGAACUGCAAUGUGGAUGAGAGUUUCGACGUGCACUGUUCACUACGAUCUAAUACAAUGCUCAUUGAUACCUUUGAAUCUCAGAAGUUUAAUAUGAAUGAAUAAUGAGGACGGAUUUUACUACGUCGCAAUUUUCAUUCUAUAAUUCUACUUGGAUUUAAAAUACCUGGACCUGCCUGAAGUACCUCCUUAAGAACUUCACGACCAGGAACUACCCUGCCUCCCACUCAAUAACUAAAAAAGAACCAGUGACCUACCUCAACAAAUGAUCAAAGGCCCGUUUCUCAAUAUGCUGAAGUUUAACUGUUGGUGGGGGAUCAGUGGGAGCCGGUGAGAGCGGGCCUAGAAGCAUGGCCCGAAACCACUCCGAUCUUUGGGCGAGUCGCUGUCUUUCGAUGCGGUACCUCCAGGUAUCACCAGGAUCAAGAUACAAACAUACCUCAAGCAUCACCAUAUCAAAAGGAUGGCUUCCUGACAUCUUUUCCUCGCCCGGUAUCAGUGCUACUUGAGACAUAUCGAAAUCUUUGCAGUGAUUCUUAGGUAUGAUGAGCCUGGGUC